RNAcentral lists this unclassified non-coding RNA (1030 nucleotides) under uncultured fungus. Its description in RNAcentral is "sequence contains 18S rRNA gene, ITS1, 5.8S rRNA gene, ITS2, 28S rRNA gene". The stretch from base 134 to 1030 matches the Rfam family "Eukaryotic large subunit ribosomal RNA", at positions 1 to 961 of the family's 3401-position model. Lineage: Eukaryota; Fungi. The record is from RNAcentral.
GGAUGGAUCAUUCCUGUUAACAAACAAACCAACCUCCAAGCUAUUUCUGCUAACAACCUUAACACUUAAAAAUUCAAUGAAACUAAAACUCUUAGCGAUGGAUGACUCGACUCUCGUAACGAGGAAGGACGCAGCAAACCGCGAUAAGCAGUAUGACUUGCGAAUUUAAGCAUAUAAUUAAGCGGAGGAAAAGAAACCAACAGGGAUUCCCUUAGUAGCGGCGAGCGAAAAGGGAUGAGCCCAAGGUGUGAAUCCGAGUUGCUUGCAGCUCGGAGCUGUACAUCAGGUCCUUGGCCACAACGGAUUGCUCGCUAAGACGCCUGGAAAGGCGUGCCACAGAAGGUGAUAGCCCUGUCUUUGCGAUGCCAAUCAGUUGGUAGGUCUUGGUCUAAUGAGUCACGCUCUUUGGGAGUAGAGCGCAAAUAGGGUAGUAACCUCCAUCCACGGCUAAAUAUUGACGAGAGAUCGAUAGCAAACAAGUACCGUGAGGGAAAGUUGAAAAGCACUUCGAAAGGAGAGUUAAAAUACCUGAAAUCGCCAAGGGGGAAGCGACUAUCCGUGACCCAAGUGAAGUCGGCUCUCAAGGUUUCGAUCUUGGAUGGCUGAUCAACAACUCGACAUCACUUCCCAAUUGUUCGAUGCUUCUCUGAAGUUUACUUCUAGGAAGUUGUUCGUUCAGUGUAGGAGUGACGCAAACCGGCUUGCCGUAAGUUGUCGAGAGCGGCACGUAUAGACGACCCGUCUUGAAACACGGACCAAGGAGUUAAACAAGUGUGCAAGUGUAAGAGUGUUAAACUCAUACGCGCAGUGAAAGCAAAAGCUGUGAAUAUCCAUGCAACAGCGGCCGACUCUUGAAGUUCGAGCUUGAGCAUAUUUGUUUAGACCCGAAAGAUGGUGACCUAUACCUGAGUUGAGUGAAGCCAGGGGAAACCCUGGUGGAAGCUCGUAGCGAUACUGACGUGCAAAUCGUUCGUCAAACUUGGGCAUAGGGGCGAAAGACUAAUCGAACCAUCUAGUAGCUGGUUCCCUC